This 84-nucleotide signal recognition particle RNA is filed under the name Buchnera aphidicola (Cinara pseudotaxifoliae). Its description in RNAcentral is "4.5S sRNA component of Signal Recognition Particle (SRP)". It matches the Rfam family "Bacterial small signal recognition particle RNA". Rfam says of the family: The signal recognition particle (SRP) is a universally conserved ribonucleoprotein involved in the co-translational targeting of proteins to membranes. Archaeal SRP consists of a 7S RNA and homologues of the eukaryotic SRP19 and SRP54 proteins. The record is from RNAcentral. Lineage: Bacteria; Pseudomonadati; Pseudomonadota; Gammaproteobacteria; Enterobacterales; Erwiniaceae.
UACUUUAACGCUAUAUAUUUAAAUAUCUGGUCAGAUCUGGAAAGAAGCAGCCAAAUUAAAUUUUAUAGGUGUUAAAAAAACCUC